CCCACUGGGCUCACCUACAUUUCAGGGGUAUCCUGGGACUGAGGCAGAGGCUUUCACCUGGGGCAAUAUUAACACUCAGCAAAAUUAGGAAGGAGGAUGAAGGAAUCAGCAUGGUGGAGUGGAAAUAUGGUGCACAUUUAGUCAAAAAGAUUUGGAUCUGAAUUCAUAGCCGUGUGGCCUGGGGCAAGUUGUGAAGAGGGGAUGGUGCCAUCUGCUUUACAGGAGAGAAAUCUAGAAGUGGAAUUGCUGAGCUGUAGAGUAUGUGAAUCUCUACAACUUUCAACUUUACCAUGUAUUGUCAAAUUGCUCUCCAAAGUGAUGGUACCAAUUAAUGAUACUACCAAUAAGGAUCUCAACAGGACAAACACAAAGAAAAUAUCAAGGUGCAUCAUAGACAAAUUAUUGAAAAUCAGCAAUAAGGAGAAAACCUUAAAAACAGCAAGAUAAAAAGAUGCAUUAUGUGUAAAAUUAAAAAAGAAAACAAUGAUUGCUGAAUUCUUAUCAUACCAAUGCACAAAAGACAACAGAACAAUAUCUUUAAUGUGUGAAAAGUAAAAAAAAAAAUGUCAAACUAAGUUUUACAUUCAGGAAAAAUAUUCUUUGAAAAUAGAAGACAAUGAGAUUUCUGAUUUGUGGUUAUCACUCCCAUUCUCAUAAUAAGAAAAAAUCUGAAAAAACUGGAAAUCCACAACUCUUCUUAAAAUUGAGGUAACAGGGCAAGCCACUACCUUGAAUAUUAGAGACAGGAAGAUACAAAGAAUUCAGCUUAAAGAAAGAAGGAAGCCUUGGAGGAGAAGCCUGGUGCUGGAGCCUGUACCACUUUCCACAACAUCAACUGUGCUACUGUAUAAUAACAGGGCAUUAUAGCCAAAGAACUGUAAGCCUCAGACCCUAUUUAAGGAAGAGUCUCCAGGGAAAUCUAAAAAUAACAGGGAAGACUAAAACAAGGACACCCAGAGAAAAUGCUAGCCUUUGAUAUGUACAGCUAUAGCAACUGGCAAACACAAUGUAACUCCUAGCCAGAUCAACAUUGAACCUCACACAAAAGGUCUAUUUACUUCAUUUCCUUCUAAUUGAUACAUCCUCUCAGGCUGUCAGCAAAAAACUAGAAGACGUGAAAAUGCAAAAACUCUGUCUGAAGAGAGAAAGCAUGCCUUAGACUCAGACUGGCAGAAAUUUUGAGUGAUCAAACCAGAUAUUUAAAAUAACUAUGAUUAAAAUGCUAGCAGAAUGGAAAAAGUAAACAACAUGCACAAAUGGAAGGCAAAACAAAGACAUUUUCAAAUAAGCAAAAGGUGAUAGAAUGUGUCAUCCACAGACCUGCACUAUAAAAAAUGGUAGAGGAAGUUCUUCAGUAUGAAAGUGAAUGAUACCAGAUGGAAACUGAGAUCUACAAAAUGAAACAUCACUGGAAAUAGUAAAUACAUGGAGAAAGGCUCAGUCUAGCAGCAGAGCAAACUGGACAUUUUCUCACCAUUUGUUUCACCAGAGAAAGGAAGGGACAGCAACUUGGAGUCUGGAGCUGACGCAGAGGAUGUUUCUUGAUAUCUUCAACUUGAACCUGUCUCACUUGACAGAUUUAUGCUGCCAGAGUGGUUCUUCUAGUAAGAAGCCCCUUGCCAUCAGACACUGCAUUUCACUUGGUGAUUUUCCAGACUCCUCAAAUCUUUUAUGGAAAGAGAGUUUCACCUGCCACCUGGAUCAUUUCCUAUUUUUCUGCAGCCACUUCAGGGCGGGGACCCAGUAUCACGAAGCUGCAAGCUUUGCUGCCAGUUUUCCAUCCAUCCCCCGGGGCUGAGAUGAGGUGAGAGGUAAUCCAGGAUAGGAGUCCCUCUGAAGCAAACAGAACAUCCAUCAAAGACCCGAAAGAACAUAAGGCCGCAAAUCCUAUCUAUGAAGAUAGGCACUUCCAUUCAUUCUGAAGUCCUCACAUAGUAGUUAUUCAGUGAAUGUACCCUGGGAUCCACUUUUCACCUUUCCCCUUACCUGCUUUGUGCUUCAAGAAACUGACUUCAACAGACAGCAUCAUCUGGGCUUCUUUACCCUGUAGUGUUCAGCUGAGUUCAGCCAAUGGAAGACACUAGUAGAAGACUGGAAGGAUAGAGGAGAGAAAGAUUGGAAUAUUUAUUCCCAUCUCAUACUACAGUUUUUGUAGUGAUGGUUCUUCCUAUUGGACAGCUUCCACCUAUAACUACAGUUCUCUCCUGGUUCCAGAAACUGCUUUCUCCACUUCUGACCUAGGAGUAGCCACAGCUCCCAGCUGUUGUUAGACCCCAGGUGUAUUUUGUCAUCUCUUGUUACUUCCCUUAACCCUGCCACAGCUCUGAAAAUAGUCCAGUAAUUAAAUACUUUUUGAGCUAUU
Molecule: long non-coding RNA, 2362 nt
Filed under: Homo sapiens (human)
Lineage: Eukaryota; Metazoa; Chordata; Mammalia; Primates; Hominidae
Description: HSALNT0292373
Source: RNAcentral